Molecule: unclassified non-coding RNA, 241 nt
Filed under: plant metagenome
Description: partial contains small subunit ribosomal RNA, internal transcribed spacer 1, and 5.8S ribosomal RNA
Source: RNAcentral
UUUCCGUAGGUGAACCUGCGGAAGGAUCAUUAUUGAAUGAGACACUUCUGGCUUUAUGCUGUUGUGCUGGCCCUUUGGGCAAUGUGCACACGGCUCUGGUCACUUGUUUCUUCUGUUCCACCUGUGCACUGCCUGUAGACACGCUGUGUCUAUGAUAUUUGUUAACACACAACAAUGUUAGUUGGCAUGUUAUAUAUAAUAAUAAAAUAUACGACUUUCAACAACGGAUCUCUUGGCUCUC